UACGUAGGGGGCGAGCGUUGUCCGGAUUUACUGGGCGUAAAGAGCGCGUAGGUGGUUUGCAGAGUCGGCUGUGAAAUCUCUGGGCCCAACCCAGAGGAGUCGGCCGAGACCUGCGGACUUGAGGGUGGUAGAGGAAGGUGGAAUUCCGGGUGUAGUGGUGAAAUGCGUAGAGAUCCGGAGGAACACCAGUGGCGAAGGCGGCCUUCUGGGCCACACCUGACGCUGAGGCGCGAAAGCGUGGGGAG
Molecule: ribosomal RNA, 245 nt
Filed under: uncultured bacterium
Lineage: Bacteria
Description: partial 16S ribosomal RNA
Rfam family: Bacterial small subunit ribosomal RNA
Source: RNAcentral